This 540-nucleotide ribosomal RNA is filed under the name Ostreococcus sp. RCC356. Its description in RNAcentral is "SSU rRNA". It matches the Rfam family "Eukaryotic small subunit ribosomal RNA", at positions 594 to 1154 of the family's 1831-position model. The record is from RNAcentral. Lineage: Eukaryota; Viridiplantae; Chlorophyta; Mamiellophyceae; Mamiellales; Bathycoccaceae.
AUAGCGUAUAUUUAAGUUGUUGCAGUUAAAAAGCUCGUAGUCGGAUUUUGGCUGAGAACGGUCGGUCCGCCGUUAGGUGUGCACUGACUGGUCUCAGCUUCCUGGUGAGGAGGUGUGCUUCAUCGCCACUUAGUCACCGUGGUUACUUUGAAAAAAUUAGAGUGUUCAAAGCGGGCUUACGCUUGAAUAUAUUAGCAUGGAAUAACACCAUAGGACUCCUGUCCUAUUUCGUUGGUCUCGGGACGGGAGUAAUGAUUAAGAGGAACAGUUGGGGGCAUUCGUAUUUCAUUGUCAGAGGUGAAAUUCUUGGAUUUAUGAAAGACGAACUUCUGCGAAAGCAUUUGCCAAGGAUGUUUUCAUUGAUCAAGAACGAAAGUUGGGGGCUCGAAGAUGAUUAGAUACCAUCCUAGUCUCAACCAUAAACGAUGCCGACUAGGGAUUGGCGGAUGUCAAUUGAUGACUUCGCCAGCACCUUAUGAGAAAUCAAAGUUUUUGGGUUCCGGGGGGAGUAUGGUCGCAAGGCUGAAACUUAAAGGAAUU